Molecule: ribosomal RNA, 468 nt
Filed under: uncultured bacterium
Lineage: Bacteria
Description: partial 16S ribosomal RNA
Rfam family: Bacterial small subunit ribosomal RNA (bases 20-332)
Source: RNAcentral
GACGAACGCUGGCGGCGUGCUUAACACAUGCAAGUCGAACGGAAAGGCCCUGCUUUUGUGGGGUGCUCGAUUGGCGAACGGGUGAGUAACACGUGUGUAACCUGCCCUUGACUUUGGGAUAACUUCAGGAAACUUGUGCUAAUACCGGAUAUGAGCUCCUGCUGCAUGGUGGGGGUUGGAAAGUUUCGGCGGUUGGGGAUGGACUCGCGGCUUAUCUGCUUGUUGGUGGGGUAGUUGCUUACCAAGGCUUUGACGGGUAGCCGGCCUGUGAGGGUGACCGGCAAAAUGGGGAAUGAGAGAGGGACCAGAAGACAACGGGAGGAAGAAGGGGGGAAGAUGGAAGAAGGGGAGGAAGCAGGAGGAAGAAAGGCGGGGGGGGGGAAGACGGCCAAGGGGUGGAAAACAGAUUUGGAAGGAGAAGAAGAGGGAGUGAAGGUAAUGGGUAAAGAAGCACCGGCUAACUACGUG